Molecule: ribosomal RNA, 1032 nt
Filed under: Triticum aestivum (bread wheat)
Lineage: Eukaryota; Viridiplantae; Streptophyta; Magnoliopsida; Poales; Poaceae
Description: partial small subunit ribosomal RNA
Source: RNAcentral
AUGCUUGCCGAUGGCCUCGCCGCCGAGCUCCACGGCCGAGUUGAGCAGCACCAGGGCGAAGAGCUGCACGUCCUCCUCGGAGGUGAACGCGCCGUGCCCCUCGGGCGUCAUCACCAUGUCGGGGGCAUUGAGGAGCAGCGAGCAGAGGAAGUUGAAGACAUCAACCAUGCACCGCGCGCCGAAGCCUGCCGCGGAGGUGACGGACAUGUCGUCCUCAGCAUCCUCGCGGAUGUCCGGCAGGCGGGCGAAGACGGCCUGCAGGAUCUCGUGCAUGCAGUGUCGAGCCGUGCGCUGCAGGAGCUCGCUGCCGCGGCUGCUGGCCGCGUGCUGCACCACCUGGAAGCACGUGUUGACUGCGGUGCACACGGCGCUGUCCGAAAGGAGAGGCGCGGCGCGGGCGCGGAGAAGCGCGGCGAGCACCUGCAGCACGCGCAGGAGCACGGCCUCCUCGGCGCCGGCGUCCGCGAUGCGCUCUAUGCGGCAGUUGGUGACCGCGGUCAGGAUGGCCUGUAUCGCGUCCCGGGCGCCCGGCGAGCACUCGUCGAACACGUCGAUCCGCAGGAUCUUCAGCACGGACGACAGGGCGACGCCGGUGGCCGCCGGCGGGACCUCCUCGCUCUGCACGACGUCGAGGAACGGCGACAGGUACAUGGACGGGUCGGAGCAGCGCCACGCGCCGUGGCGGGGCUGGAAGAGGAGGGCACGGAGGCUCUUGAGGGACUGGAUGAGGCCUGCGAACACGGCCUCUUCCGCAGCGGCGACCGCCGGAGGGAGGUAAGCGUAGGGGUCCGGGCGACGGCGGAUGACGGCGAGGAGCGCGGCCACCUCCGUGUUGAGCAUGCAGGAGAUGCCGAGGUCCUUGAGCCGGGGGUCACGGCGAGUCCCGCGUGCCACGGUGUAGGUGGGCGGGCCAUCGUCGUCGUCGUCCGAGGCCGGCGUCCUUGCCAUCGCGCGCCGGCGUCGAGGAUUAUUGGGCGCUCCGAGGUCAAGGGGAGGAUUAACUUGUUCAGGAGAAGGCUAUGUCUACUUUGA